CCUACGGGAGGCAGCAGUGAGGAAUAUUGGUCAAUGGGCGCGAGCCUGAACCAGCCAAGCAGCGUGAAUGAAGACUGCCCUACGUGUUGUAAACUUCUUUUAUAAAGGAAUAAAGUGAGGCACGUGUGCCUUUUUGUAUGUACUUUAUGAAUAAGGAUCGGCUAACUCCGUGACAGCAGCCGCGGCAAUACGGAGGAUCCGAGCGUUAUCCGGAUUUAUUGGGUUUAAAGGGAGCGUAGAUGGGUUGUUAAGUCAGUUGUGAAAGUGUGCGGCUUAACCGUAAAAUUGCAAUUGAUACUGGCAGCCUUGAGUACAGUAGAGAUAGGCGGAAUUCGUGGUGUAGCGGUGAAAUGCUUAGAUAUCACGAAGAACUCCGAUGGCGAAGGCAGCCUACUAAACUGCCACUGACAUUGAUGCGCGAAAGUGUGGGUAUCAAACAGGAUUAGAUACCCGGGUAGUC
This 460-nucleotide ribosomal RNA is filed under the name uncultured bacterium. RNAcentral describes it as "partial 16S ribosomal RNA". It matches the Rfam family "Bacterial small subunit ribosomal RNA", at positions 338 to 795 of the family's 1533-position model. The record is from RNAcentral.